This 253-nucleotide ribosomal RNA is filed under the name uncultured bacterium. Its description in RNAcentral is "partial 16S ribosomal RNA". It matches the Rfam family "Bacterial small subunit ribosomal RNA", at positions 524 to 776 of the family's 1533-position model. The record is from RNAcentral.
UACGUAGGGGGCUAGCGUUGUCUGGAAUCAUUGGGCGUAAAGAGCGUGUAGGCGGUCCGGUAAGUCCGCUGUGAAAGUCGGGGGCUCAACCCUCGAAUGCCGGUGGAUACUGUCGGGCUAGAGUGCGGAAGAGGCGAGUGGAAUUCCUGGUGUAGCGGUGAAAUGCGCAGAUAUCAGGAGGAACACCUAUUGCGAAGGCAGCUCGCUGGGACGUUACUGACGCUGAGACGCGAAAGCGUGGGGAGCAAACAGG